GCUGUCCUCAGACUAUGUGGGGAUACACUAUGAGAAUGGGAAGCCCGUCCUUUGGAGGGAGGGGCUUAACAACUGCCGUUUUCAGGGAGUUUGGAAAUGUCCCAGAAAGAAGUGAGGCGUUCUGCUUCUACUACUAAGAGAUCUGCUUCUAAACAUGGCAUGUUUGAUGAUGGAGUCCAUGUGUACACAAUUGAGCCACUUAAACAGAAUCAUUCUAUUGAGGGAACAGCAAGACCACAUGUGUUACGCAGGGUGACUUUCCUGCAGCAAACCACACAUGCAGGAGAGGAAGGCAUGGAAGAGGAUGUGUCUUGGCUUCGACGGAGGAAAAAGCAAGCUGUAAGAGUUUGACUGAGACACAGCUGAAGCUGGAUACAGGCCACAAAGAGAUACACUGCAGAGCAGAACAAGAGCAACGUCAAUGACACUCUAUGCAAACCAGAACACAUCCCAUAAUAUCAGACAGCUUGACUCAAGCUUGUGCAGUAGCAGCAGCAAUACUGUAGUACCGACAUGUUUAGUAGGCAGCUCAAAGGUUACAUCCCAAUUUGCAUACUAUAUACUACAUUGUAGUAAUGUGUUCUAAACAUUAGUAAAUUAAAAACAGCAUGAUGGAUUUUGGAAAUAUGCAUCCAUUUAUGCUUUAUGAGUAAAUGAUUCACACAAACCGUGGCAUUCCUGAGGAGGAGGAGUUCAUGACUCAAGGUUUCAGUGUUAGAAAAAUGCAGUUAUUUUAAGUUAUUUUAAACGCAUGAAUGUAAAACAUUAAGUAAUCAUGGAUUAAUUAGGUCAUUUAUUACGUUUAUUACAAAUAUUUGAUGCAGUUUUAUGAAUCAUUUUCCAAAAUAACACUAAUGUUGAAAAAGUUUAGAUUCACAUA
Long non-coding RNA from Cyprinus carpio carpio, 880 nucleotides. Lineage: Eukaryota; Metazoa; Chordata; Actinopteri; Cypriniformes; Cyprinidae. The record is from Ensembl.